Molecule: long non-coding RNA, 4690 nt
Filed under: Canis lupus familiaris (dog)
Lineage: Eukaryota; Metazoa; Chordata; Mammalia; Carnivora; Canidae
Description: lncRNA (ENSCAFG00000055817.1)
Source: RNAcentral
UUUUUUUUUUUUUUUUUUUUACCAGCAGCAUUACACACACACACACACACAGAUGUGUGGUCUUGCACUUAGCAACGCUGCUGCAGUCAGAAGUGGUGCUGCUUCUGUGUCCCCAGUCUGAGUGGCCUGCUCCAGGCUGGUCUCUGGUGCCCAGAAUGACAUCUGCAAAACACAACGCCGCAGGCUCAUGUAAGGGAGCCCCAGCCACUCUCACCAGGGCUGCCAGCGAUACUCAGAGCUCCUCUCAGCUCUGUGUGGACCAGAGCCUGAAGCUGGUGAGGCCAAGGUAAAAUGAUACCGAGAGAGAGUCAUAAAAAGCGAGAGGCCAUUGAGACAAGCCGGCACCAAAUACGUAAGUAGGCAUCAAGGUCCCCACCUCCUCACGUGAGCACAUUUUAAUCUCUUUCCUUCCUUUGGGUGCACUCUCUCAGCCUUUCCUUGAGAACAAUCUUUGGGAAACCUCCCCUCUGUGGUUAUUAUGGCAUUAUAGUCAUGAUAGGAUGUUCUUUGUUCCUGUUACUCUUGGUGAUCUGUCCAAUGUGUGAGGGUGGAACCCUCCCAGGGAGCACUUGACUUGGAGCACCAAGUCCUGCUCCUUGUCACAGAUGUGCUACCUAACAUGGAAAUAAACUUGAGAAAUCCAUGUGAUCGCUCCCUGCCUAUUUCUUCACCUGAGACAGACAAGGUGUUUUUCUUGUCUCUAUCGAGGACCCGAUGGGAUACCACACACACAAAGGCCCAAUCUCCUUUUGUUUGGCAAUGGAUCCUUGAGUGUUUAUUGACAUGAAUUUCAAUCAGAAGAAAAAGGCCACCUUUAUUCCUCCCCACUGGUUCCUGCAGAGCUCAAGGCAGCAUAUAUUACAAACCCAGGCCCUAAAAGGAACUGCUCACACCACCCCCUCCCUGGGCUGUCCUCCCUGGAGCUGAAGCCAACCCACAUUCUGGAGCCCCUAGGGCUUAGAUCUUUGGAGCCCUCACUCAAUUCCAGGGUUAGCAGGGCCCUUCUUAUGCCUUUUUUUUUUUUUUUUUAAGAUUUUACUUAUUUAUUUAUGAGAGACACACAGAGAGAGGCAGAGACAUAGGCAGAGGGCGGGCCUGGAUCCCAGGAACCCAGGAUCAUGACCUAAGCUAUAGACGGAUGCUCAACCACUGAGCCACCCAGGUGCCCUCUGUGUCUCUUUACACAAUGAAAACAUCUGCUGAGCAGAUCCCAACCUCCAUUCCCACAGAUCCUGUCUUCAAAUCAGACCUCAAAAAUCCACAUUCUCUUCCUCUAUCUGCUGCCUCACCUUCAGAAGAGAACACACAAAACAGAGAUACCAGAACAUCUAAUCUCAUGAAGAUGAGACCUGGGGGCUGCCCUAUCCACAGGGGACCAUGCAAAAACUUUGUUCCAGGGACCCAGAACAGGACACAGUGGAAAGGAACACGGGACUGAAAUCCAGGACUCUCGGCUUUAGCGGUUCUGCACGGCCCUGAGCAGUAACUGAAUCUCUGACUUACCAUCCUAACCCACCGCAUCCCCAGGCCCUGUGAAGAUCCAGUGUGGCAACGUCCAGGAAGGCACUUUGCAAAUGAUGGAGCGCCAUGCAAACAACAGGUGCCCUGCAGAUGCACCCUGUCCUGCUUCAGGACUUGCCAUCACAAUUUUUAACUGAAAAUUUUCUUUCACGCUAAAAUACAUAGGUUUUUUUAAAAAAAAGAAAAUGGCAGAUUCAACAGCCUACCAUACCAAGUACUUUCCUGUCAGUGUUUACCCAGUGUUUACAAGCCCUCUCCUUACCGGCACAACAUUUUGUGCACGGUUGCCCGUGAAAGAAGUAUUUAUUGACUACUGUUAAGGUCCGGGCACCGUGCUGGGUACUGUAGAUUGGGCAACAACCAACCACAAAACACAAAAUCUUUGCUUUAAUGUUCCAAGGGGAAGAGGCAAUGAACAGACAUAUCCAAUAAGCCAGACAGUGACGAGGCAAAGAUUCGCCUUUAAAAACCCCGUGUUUUCGGCAGCCCUGGUGGCUCAGUGGUUUAGUGCCACCUUCAGUCCAGGGCCUGAUCCUGGAGACAUGGGAUCAAGUCCCAUGUCGGGCUCCCUGGAUGGAGCCUGCUUCUCCCUCUGCCUGUGUCUCUGCCUCUCUCUCUCCUCUCUGUAUAUUUUCAUGAAUAAGUAAAUAAUUUUUUUUUAAAAAAAAUAAAAACCCCAUGUUUUAAAAACCAAAGUGAGGGGACACCUGGGUGGCUCAGCGGUUGAGUGUCUGCCUUCAGCUCAGGUCGUGAUCCCGGGGUUCUGGGAUCAAGUCCGACAUCGGGCUCCCCGCAGGGAGCCUGCUUCUCCCUUUGUCUGUGUCUCUGCCUUCUCUCUCAUGAUAAAUAAAAAUAAAUAAAAAUUAAAAAUUAAAAAAAAAACACAGUGAAGUCGGGUGGUGCUAUUUCAAAUAAGGUGAUCGGGAAGGCCUUCUCUGAGAAGGUGACAGCUGAGCAGAGAGACUCGACAGGAGCAACGCAGUAAGCCAUGGACAUAUGUGGGGGAUGGGUGUGCAGGCACAGGGGAGAGCAAAGUGCCUCUGACCAUGGCAGGGGAGCCAGGGGGACAACGCAGACGGAUCAGAGACAUGGUGGGGUGCCAGGGGAGAGGAGCCAGACAGCAAGCAGGCCUUGUAGCUUCGUGGGCAAGGCUCAGAAUUUCAUUCUGAGUGAAGAUGCCACCAGAAGGUGCCAAGUGGAGUGCUGGCGCAAUUGUGACACAUCACAAUUUCACUUUCCAAUCACUCCUGCCAGGGUACAGGAAUACAGUCAAUUUUUGCAUCUUGACCAUGUAUCCAAUGACGUUGCCAAAUUCACUUAUUAGUUAAGAUUAUUUAGAAUUCUGUCUUCUGCAAACAAAGAUAAUUUCACUGCUUCCUUUCCAACCCUUAUGGCUUUUAUUUCAUUCUGUUGCCUGAUGACACUGGCUGGGACUUCCAGUCCUGUGCUGCACAGAGUGGCAUACGCGGACUUCCCUGCCUCACUCCUGAUCAAGGGGGAGAACAUUCAGUGUUUCACAGUUUUGAGUGGUAUCAGCUGUGGGUUUUUGAAAGCUGUCCUUUAGCACAUUGUGGAAUUUCCCUUUUAUUCUGAGUUUGCUGAGAGUUUCUGGUCAUAAACACACUGAGUUUUGUCACAUGCUUUUUUCUGCAUCUAUUGCCAAAAUCAUAUAAUUUUCCUUUUUUUAUUCAAUUAAUGUGGGGUAUUACAUUCAUUGAGUUUCACAUGUUAAACCAACCCUGCAUUCCUGGAGGAACACCACUUGGUCAUGAGGUAUCAUUACUGCUGUAUUCAGUAUGCUAGCAUUUCAUUAUUUUUGCAAGAAAUAUUGUUCUGUAACUUUUUUCUUUUUUCUUUAACGAUUUUAUUUAUUUAUUCAUGAGAGGCACAGAGAGAGAUGCAGAGACAUAGGCAGAGGGAGAAGCAGGCUCCCUACGGGGAGCCUGAUGCAGGACUCAAUCCCAGGACCCCAGGAUCAUGGGCUCAACCACUGAGCCACCCAGAGGUCCUUUUUUCCUUUUUUAAAAAUCAUGGUUAUGCUGGCCUCAUGAUACUAUCUGGAAAACAUUUUCCUCUUUCCUUUUCCUCUAUUAAAGAGUUUAUGUGAGAGUGGUACUAUUUCUUCCUUAAGUGUCUUCUAAAAGUCACUAAUAUAGCCAUUUGGGCCUGGAGUUUUCUUUGUGAAAAAGUCUUCUAGUGUCAAUUUCAAUAAUUUGUGUCUUUAAUGGAAUUUAUCCAUUUCAUCUAAUUUAUUGAGCUUAUUGAUACAAAGUGGUUCACAAUAAUCCAUUUUCCUCUUCUAUCUGUAAGAUGUAUGUAAGAGUCCCUUUUUCAUUGCUCAUACUGGCAAUUUAGUUUCCUCUCCUUUUCCUUCAUUAGUCUUCUUGGGGGUUUAUCAAUUUUAUUCAUCUUUUUAAGAGCCAACUUGUGUUUUUAUUGAUUAUUCCCUAUCACAUGUCUGUGUUUUUCAUUUACCUUCCUCUUAUCCUUUGUCACACAUCUAAACUCCUAAAUAAAUUGCUACUGUUUGGCUUUAAGCCAUCAAUUGUUUUUGAUGAGUUUUUAAAAUGAGAAAAUUAAUUCUUUUAUAUUUACAACAUAUUUCCCUUUUCUGGCACUUUUAAUUCCUUCAUAUGGAUCCAUAGUCUAUCGGUGGCAUGUCCCUUUGGGCUGAAGACUUUCCUUUAAUGAUCCUAAUUCUGCAAGUCCACAGAGAACAGCUUCCCUCAACUUUUGUCAAUCUGAAAAUGUCUUUGUUUGAAGUUUAUUUUUGAAAGAUAUAUUUUUUCCAGAACGUUAAAGACAAUGUCCUAUUGUCCUCUGCUUUACAUUUUUUUUUUAUCCUUUCACUUUAUUGGAGUUCAAUUUGCCAACAUAUAGUGUAACACCCAGUGCUCAUCCCAUCAAGUGCCCCCCUCAGUGCCCAUCACCCAGUCACCCCCACCCCGCUCACCUCCCCUUCCACCACCCCUUGUUCGUUUUCCAGAGUUAGGAGUCUCUCCUGUUCUGUCACCCUCUCUGAUAUUUUCCACUCAUUUUUUCUCCUUUCCCCUUUAUUCCCUUUCCCCUUAUUAUGAUAAGAAGUCAACUAUAGGGCAGCCCAGGUGGCUCAGCAGUUUAGCGCCACCUUCAGUCCAGGGUGUGAUCCUGGAGACCCAGGAUCGAGUCC